This 4117-nucleotide long non-coding RNA is filed under the name Homo sapiens (human). RNAcentral's name for it is "HSALNT0382921". The record is from RNAcentral. Lineage: Eukaryota; Metazoa; Chordata; Mammalia; Primates; Hominidae.
CGAGAAGGCGGCGCUGGGAGCCGCUCAGAGCCCAGAGAAGCGGCGCGCGGCCAGGAGCCCCCGCUCCGCCACUGCCGUGCCUGCCUCCCGCAGCUGUCUGCCAUGCGCUCGCCGGGGCAGGGGCGCCCGGAGGGCGGCUAGAGCUGGGCCUGAGCCCGGGAACGCGCCUGAUCAGGGGUGGCGGAGCCGCGGUCCCCACAGCCGCCCCACCCGCGCCGCUGCCUCGCUGGGGCCCGGGCCCCCUUCCCGGUCCUUACUCCCCUGCUGGUGCCUCCCUCCUUGGCGCGCUUCCCACCUGCGAUCGGCGCCCUCUUCGCAGUCACGAACUCGCCAGCAGCUAGCAGCACUGACUAGUAGGAGGGCCCGCCGGAGGAGAGGACAUGCUCUGGAGUCAGAAGACAGCGAAAAGAGAAGCAGAAGCCCCGGUGGCAAGAGUCUGAAGGAAGGAUGACUGUAGCCUGUGGAUUGUACUGCAGUAGGAAACUGUCCUAGCAAGGCUCCACUUUGCCCCAGCUUCAAGCUGGAAAGGAGGAGAACAUGAAACAUUGCUUGAAGACAAUGGCCGAGACAGCAGGUCCCACCCUGCACAGCCACCAGCAUCUCUCCCCUCAGCCCUGUCUCCUCUUCUGCAGUUGGGAUCUGCACAUUUAAGCCUGAAAUUGUCCUGUGAAGUGAAGUAUGAUCGGACAGCCUCUUUUCAGCUUUUAUGACAAUGGAGACAGAGGAAUUGUGGCUCUUGCCAAGGUCACAGGAUUGGAAUACAGAGCCAAGCCACCCCAGGACAUGCAAGAGCCUCAGAAGGGAAAAAAGCCCAGCAGGAAGGGAGAACAAGUAGCCUCUGUCCUGAAGUUGUAACAGCCAGGGGCCAGGAUGGAGGAGGAGGACCCCAUAAUCUGCCCAUCUGGGACUUGGCAGGGGACCUGGGAAAAUGUACCCCAACCCAUCCCUUAAGGGCCUUUGUCUUUGGCCCAUUGGCCUAGCAUCUACUUCUUCACCGUGUCUGUUCUUGUCACACCUAGUCAGGUCUGUUUGGGUCUGAGGUGCAUGGAACAUUCUGGGUAGGCCUCCAGCAAACGGAAGCUCUUCACCGUGUUUCCAGCCUGGGACCAAGGGCAGCAUACUGGCAAAGUUGCCAAAGCAAGGGACUCCAGCCUCUUAGGAGUUAAUGACUCCCUCUCCCCAGCUGUCCUCCCCUUGGUGCUCCUCUUCCUCCCUCCUCCUGCUCACAGCAGGCAGGGCCUAGACCCGGGAGCCAUGCUGCUGUGCUGUUGCCAGGGGAGCACGGAGGCAGAUCUGAGCUAUGCAGGGAAAAGGCCCAGCCUGUCAAAGUGUCUGAGAUGAACCGCCGCCGUCCCUGUGCAGCUGGGCUCAGACGUGUCUCAGCUCUUGUUCUGUGCCUGAGAAUGGCGAAACCCAGUGAGGUUCAAGGGCAAACUCGCUAUUCAUUAGUCAGGGGUUCUUGACGUCCCGUCUCUCCCAGGGAUGAGUUCCCCCCUCCUCUUUCUCCCCCUCCUAUGACACAUUCCUGGGUGCCUUUGGUGAGGACUGCACACCCUCCUCCUGCCUAGCCCCCUCUCCAAAGGCCCCUGAAUAAACUCCCCCCAAGGAGACCAGGCAGGGCAGAGACAAUGGCUGCAGGAAAUCAUUCAGGCGGGACAUGCUGGCCUGCCCUCCACCCAGUCCCCCUGUGGGCCCCACUCCCUUCUGAUUCAGGGCACCCUUGGGCCCCCAGCCUAUACAGGCCUGGACAGGAAGAAACCACUGGGAACCACCCUAAGGACAACAUGCUAGUCCAGUGCCAUUCUUCGCUGGCUCUGUGGGUGCCUUUGUGGCCUGUACCGACUGGCUGGCUAAUUUUGUGGUUUCUGUACCAUCACAUGCCUAUUUUAAGACACUCUCCAGCACUGUCGGUUAGGGAGUGUAAAUUUUGCAAUAUUUUCUGAAAUGUGGCAAUAUCAAAAUGUAAAAGGCACACAUACUUGGUCACAAACAAAUGGCACUAUUUACUCUGUGGGCAUAUUUGUAAAAGUUGCCAAAGAAUUAUAUACAAGGAUGUUCAUCAGAGCAUUUCUUUUGAAGAGUAAAGAAAUGGACAUGAACCUGUGGUCCGUUCAUACGGUGGAAUACCUAUGCAGCUGUAAAAAUCAGUGUGGUAGAUCUCCGUAUAUGAGUUGAUGUGGAAGGUUGGCCAGUUCACAUGAUAAGGUGAAUAGAAUAAGUUACAGAACAGGCUGUAGAGUAUGAUCUUAUUUGUAGAUGUUUAAAACUGAGUCAUAAGUAUGCUUAUAUACAGAUCGUUUCUGGAAGUAUGUACUGGAAGUCUACCUCUGGGGAGUGGGGAUGGGGGAGUGCACUCUUCUAUACUGUUAUAUUUUCUUUUCAUGCUCCUAAGGUACUUUUAUUGGAAGAUGUAAAGCGGUUCAAUGUAAUAGGCUUAACUUCUGUCAACUAAGUUGGCGUGGGUGCUUUAAGAGGGUGGUAGUGAUGUUGCUGGAGAAAGUAUCCCACAGUCACUGGUGGCUUCAGCCACGGGCCAUUUUGGGGCCUAAUAAUCACAUAUCAUCAUGGUUGCUAGUGUUAAUCGAAAACCUACUAAGUGCCAGGCUUACUGUCUCUGGGUCUUGCUUACGUGGAUGUCAUUUUUCCAGUUGCACCAAAUCGAAAGAGGUUAAUUGGUUUGUUGGAGUUCCUUUGUAGGUGAAGGGCAGAGCCAGGAGCUUGGCUAGGGACAGGGGAGGUGAGUGGGGGAUGGUGGAUAGGUCUUGGCUCCCAGUUUCCUUCUGGGCAGACAUUGCCCCUCUGCCCUGAGGACCUGCUUGUUUGGGGGAAGAGGCCUUUAGAGGCACCAGGGUCAUGCCAGGUGUUGGACAUGGUGAACUGGGAAGUGCUCCCAUCUGGCCACAGCGCAGAAGUAUCACCGUGCUGGGGGAUGGGGAACAGGGCUGUGAAUGGGCCUAUUUGCAUAAGCAGCAUGUGUCUGGAGAGAAAGACAUCACAGAGCAGAAGAGUGCGGGUGCCCAGGAGUGCACUUGCCACCCCUACUUCAUCCCUGAAAGAGUAAAUGGCCUGGAAGGUGUCUCUGAGAGGUAAUGCCGCACACCACCCUCCCUGGGGGCAGGGUCAGGCUACACCUGCCUUAGGUCGGGGGCUGCAGCAGCCUGAGAGCUCUCAGUAGGGCCUCAGUAGCCUGGGAGGGAGCAGGGGCAGGGGGCAGGGAAAGAGGCGUAAUGGGGCUGUCCAGAGGGGCCUGGGAAACCUGGUCCCUGAGGCCUGGGCACAGCUACAAUCACUUCAAAUUGGCUGUGGGGCCAGUGGACUGGGAAGGAAAAAAGCAAUAAGAGUGACCAAGUGCAGAAGGCUGUCAGGUCCCAGGUCACAUGCCUUAGUGCAGUGACUCCUCAUCAUUUUAUGGGGUGUGGGUGUCGUUGGUACACCCAUUUUACAGAUGAGGACACCGAGGCCCAGAAAAGUUAAGUUACAUGUCCUAAGUCACACAGCUUGUAAGUGCCAGAACUGAGAUCAAAACCAAGUCUCUUUGACUUUAAAGUCUGUACUCUGACCCCAAAGAGAUCCUGUUUGGCCACUUAUAGGAGGUCCCUAAAGCUGCAGACUCCCCUUGCCGGCACCCACAUAUAGAGACAUUAACCCUUCCCCUGCAGGGUCACCUCAAAUAGUCUUUUAGCUGGGCUUCUCCUGCAAUUCCACCUAAUGCCAUCCCCUGGGUUUUGCCCAAACCUGAACUGGGCAGUGGGGUGAGAGGAGGGGUUUACAGGGUUACAGAGCCUCAUACAGAUAGGAGCCCAUGGCUGCUGGUCAUCUGCAUUCCUGCAGGAUUGGCUGUUCCUUGGGGUCCUUGGCAGGAAAAUGAGGAUUGCUCCGAGGCCUGCUCCAGUACUUCCCAGAGGCUGGCCUGGUGUGGGGCUCUGGGAAGGCUGAGGCUGGAGAAGCGUAAGUAGGAGGGCAGAGAUGGCACUCAGGUAGCUUGAAUCACCAGGACCCUUCCAAGCCCCACAGGUUCUGAGGGAGUACUAGGGCCAGCUCUGGGAGAGGUCUCUUCCUAUGCUGUGAACCCCCUGCCUUUCUUGCAGCCUACAACGAAUAAAUUUUCUUUGCAAAG